This is a long non-coding RNA of Pongo pygmaeus (Bornean orangutan), 668 nucleotides long. RefSeq lists it as uncharacterized. The transcript has 2 exons. NCBI's taxonomy places the organism in Eukaryota, Metazoa, Chordata, Mammalia, Primates, Hominidae. The record is from RefSeq and is a predicted model, not a curated record.
GCCUUUGGAAGGUGAUUAGGUCACAAGGGCAGAGCCCUAUGAAUGAGACUAGCGUCCUUAUUAAAAAAGACCUCAGGUGAGAGAGGAGAAACUACCAACACAGUAAAGAGACAACCUACAGAAUGGUAGAAAAUUUUCACAAACUAUGCAUCUGACAAAGGUCUAAUAUCCAGCAACUAUAAGGAACUUAAAGAAAUUUACAAGAAAAACAAAACAUAAAAAAAUAGAGAAAAUGAAGUAUUCAGAAGUUAGAUGAUUUGGCCAAAUUUACUGCCUUCAGAGAGAUCUCCUUGUCCAGCUCUAUUUCCAGACAUCACCUGCUUCCGGAUUCCCACCCACCAAUGUGGACUUCCGUGUCUCUAAGCACUAGCUGUUCCCAUGCCCUCUUCCCAUUGUUGCCUUAUCCCUUCCAUAUAUCACUCUGCUGGCCAGCAUGAGCAUGCUUGAGAACCAUCCCCAGCUCCCGCCUCACCCACUUGGCCAGUCUAGGGCACAGUCCAGACCCAUCACCAUCAAACUGGGCCUCAAGCCGUUACCCACACCUGCCCAGCCUUGUCCUAAGCAACUCCUCACGACUUGGAGUUUUUAUAGCUUUCACAGAUGAAAGCUAACAUGCAAAAUGUUCAAAAGGCUUCAGGAAAUAAAAGAGGUAAACAAACUAUUAAAAA